This 220-nucleotide long non-coding RNA is filed under the name Elaeis guineensis (African oil palm). RNAcentral describes it as "long non-coding RNA (EGUI_LNC028696)". Lineage: Eukaryota; Viridiplantae; Streptophyta; Magnoliopsida; Arecales; Arecaceae. The record is from RNAcentral.
AUAGCUGACCAUCAGUCAUACAAAAAACAAAAAUAAAAAUAACAAAAUUUCGUUAAACAAAUCCACCUUCUGUUUGCAAGAGAAUAGCAAGUGCCACUCUAACCCAUGCAAGCAGUUGGCUUAGGCCAUGAUGCAACACAAAUGCGCCAAUAAUAUAAUGUUUCGCAAUUUUAGUCACAUUCCAUUACGUCACCCUAGUUCAACCAAAACAACCCACCCC